AUGAUGUCUUCUUGCACCAGCUUCACGCUACCUCUGAAUCAUCUUGUGGUUUCGGUCAAAGCGGCAUCCAAUGGGUCAAAGACCAUUGCUUCUCUCUCUGAUGUGUGGGUGUUAGUGGACGACGUUCCUCCCAGCAUGCGUACCUCGACUUUUCUGAUGGCUUUUGGGGUGCUGCUUGGGAAGCCAAUCGAGAUUGAUCAAGAUUCGUUAUCUGUUCUUGGACCAGCUAGGCUUCGGUUGUGGUGCGUUGACCUGACCUGCAUUCGUGGCUCUGUUGAUGUUUUUCCGGCGGCGGGUGGCUUUCGUCUUCGGGUCCGGGUGGAGGGUGCUCCUGGCCCUAUUUCUCCUCCUCCCCCUCCACCUCCGGCCUCGGGCGACGAUGAUAAAAGCAAGGAUGGUGAUGGGGGCCUUGAGGACUCGAUGCAUGGCACGGACCCUCGCUUCACCCAGUCUGCUUGGGAUGGGAUGUCUCCUGCUGAUCAAGAGCUGAUGAAAGACUGUGCUCCAGCUCCAGCGGGUGGUGGGGUCCAGGGCUCGAUGCCAGGAGUGGGUGGUGGGCCUGUGGCCGCGGGUGGGUCAAAGGGCACCCUCAUUUCGUCGGCGUGCUCUAACCUUCCCGCUCGCCCCACCUCCCCGUCGCUGUCAGGCAUUGAAGAUCUACCUCCGGCAGGCCCGUCGGCGGCCAAGAAGAGGAAGAAAUCAUCGGUGAAGAAGUUCUCUGCGAAGAGCAGGGCCUCUGGGGACUCCACGCAGUCCGCGGCUGGGCUCUGUCGCCGGUUGGAGGUGGAUUUGGGGGCGGCCUCGGGCCCGUCUUCGGCGGCUGCUUCUCCUGGCCGGGCCCCCCCUGUGCCUGUUCGGUCCCCUGCCUCCACCGCCCACAAGAGUGGCUGUGUCUCCAACAGUGGCGAACGCGUGGUUGACCGGGCGGCUCGGCGUGCGGCGGCGUGUGAUCUUCCCCCCUCAGGUUCGUGUCGUUUCCGUCGCCUUCCCCUUCUUUGGCUUCGUCUCCUGUUAGACUAG
RNAcentral lists this ribosomal RNA (1020 nucleotides) under Triticum aestivum (bread wheat). RNAcentral's name for it is "partial small subunit ribosomal RNA". The record is from RNAcentral. Lineage: Eukaryota; Viridiplantae; Streptophyta; Magnoliopsida; Poales; Poaceae.